Molecule: microRNA precursor, 102 nt
Filed under: Dasypus novemcinctus (nine-banded armadillo)
Lineage: Eukaryota; Metazoa; Chordata; Mammalia; Cingulata; Dasypodidae
Description: miRNA (ENSDNOG00000026664.1)
Source: RNAcentral
UAGUUUAAAAUGCAGAUUCCUGGGCCCUGUCCUAGAACUAGCAAAUCUGAAUAUAAGAGUUGGAGCCCAGGAAUCUGCAUUUUAACCCACUUCCAUCCCACC